Molecule: long non-coding RNA, 541 nt
Filed under: Vitis vinifera (wine grape)
Lineage: Eukaryota; Viridiplantae; Streptophyta; Magnoliopsida; Vitales; Vitaceae
Description: long non-coding RNA (VVIN_LNC007338)
Source: RNAcentral
GAGGGGAUUCCCCACAAGAACUAAAGGAAAGGAUGCCUUAAUGAAACUCUAUGCCAUAAACAAAUUCAAGGACACGGGAUGUCCUUAAAAAACUCUAAGAAGGUGGAUGCCCUAUAAAACUUAAGGAAGUGGGAGUGCACUGAAUAAACACUUAGUAGGGAUGGCUUUAAACAAAUUCAACUAAGGCGAAUGCUCUACACAAACUCUAGGAAGGGGAAUGAACUAAACAAUCUCCAUGAAGAGGAAUGACCUAAGAAUGUGAAGGAAGGGUGAUGCACUAAGGAAACUAAAGGAACCCCAUGGCCCAGGCAAACUAAAGGAAGGGGGGUGUCAUGAUAACACUCGGGGAAAAUGGAUGCUAAAAAAAAACUAAAAGAAAAGGGGAUGUCCUAAACAAAGUCAAGGAAGGGAGAUUCCCUAAUAAUAAUCAAGGAAAUGGGAUGACCUAAACAAACUAAGGGUAGGGGAUGCCUUAAAGAAACUCUAGGAAAGGUGAUGUCAUAAACAAAAUUAGGAAAUAAGGAUGAAUUGAAAAAAAAAA